RNAcentral lists this ribosomal RNA (807 nucleotides) under Triticum aestivum (bread wheat). Its description in RNAcentral is "partial small subunit ribosomal RNA". The record is from RNAcentral. Lineage: Eukaryota; Viridiplantae; Streptophyta; Magnoliopsida; Poales; Poaceae.
AUGGGAAGCCCGGCCCCUAGUUCCAGUGCCGAAAGGGCCUUCGACAAGGCGACUCUCUCUCCAUACCUUUUCAUCAUCGUCGCCGACAUCCUAAAGCGUCUCAUUCUACAAGCCUCCGACAAUGGUCUGUUGUCCCACCUGCUCGUUAGUAACCAACCUUGCACCGUCUUACAAUAUGCCGACGACACUCUAAUUGUUCUACCCCCCGACGCGGCACAAUUACACACUCUCAAACACAUCCUUCUCCAGUUCUCUCAGACCACUGGCUUAACCAUUAACUUCCACAAAAUCACCUUCACGCCUAUCCACGUGGACCCGGAGCUAACUCUAAGCCUAGCGGCUAUCCUCGGAUGUCAGAUCGCUACCUUCCCCCAAUCCUACCUAGGCCUGCCCUUAUCGACCCAUAAGCUUAACCUGGCCAAUUUCUUUUUCAUCAUCGACAAGGUCGACAAGCGCUUAGCCGGCUGGUGGGGCCUUCUUUUAUCUAUCGCUGGUAGGGCUAUCCUGGUCCGUUCUGUCCUUCGCGCCCUCCCCAUCUAUGCUAUGAGUGUCCUUCUGCUUCCCGCCGGAACCUUACAGGAGAUCGAAAAACGUUGUAGAGCCUUCUUUUGGACUGGCCAAGACUCAGUAACGGGCGGCAAGUGCAAAGUUGCUUGGGAUCUUGUUUGCGCACCCUUCACCAAUGGGGGCCUUGGUUUCCUCUCUCUCAAGCACAUGAACUUGUGCCUGCUUCUUAAACACAUCUCUAAGCUUCACGACGACCUGGCCUCCCCGAAACCUUCCUUCUUAAUCUCCCGGUUCAGCUAG